CUCUGAUAACGGCUUCCCUCUCUAAUUAAGCUGCAGUAAAGCUCCUCUCCAGCUGCCUGCAGUGGAAACAGCUCGUCCAAAAAGUGCUGUGCCUGGCGCUUUCACAGCGCUCCUGAAAUAUUAAGACGCCAGUCGUCAAAGUGCCCAAACCCAGGUCUAUUGAAACCAGCCUUUCAGUCAGUCGGUCAGCCAGCCCUCCAGAUGCCCAUCUCUCAGCCGGCCUUCCAGACAUCGGCAAGCCAGCUGGCACUCCAGACGUUCUUAAGUCUGUCAACCAUCCAGGCGAUUUCUAGCCAGCUAAUCCUCCUGUUGAUAUCAAGCCAACUGAUCUGCCUGGGGUUAGAUUUGUCUGCUCGGAUGUGGUGGUCUUCGGCUCCACCUUGGAGGUCAUCAUACCACAUUUGCCCUGUAUCUCCUGUGGUUUCGCUCGUUCCGUCCAGCCAUAAAUCUCCUGCAUCUCCUGAGUUCCCGCCCAGCCUCUUCCACCUCCUCUCCUAAAAUCAGCCAGUCCUUCAGCCCUGCCUUCGCUGGUUUCUUUCAGGCCCUCAGCUCACCCUCAGUCAGUGCCAUCUGGGUCCCUGCCUCCACUUCAUUCACACGAGCCGUCAACUCUGCCUUGGCCCUCCAGAGCCACGGUGUCACCCUGGCUCUUAAGUUCUCCAUCUCCGCCCUGGGCUCCUCCUCCAUCGGCUCCAUCUCCAUCAGUUGGCCCCCUGGUGUCAUCAGCCUUACUGUACCUCCACCAUGGCUCCUCCCUCCAUCAACUCCGCCGUGGGCCUCCUUCCUGCCUAGACUAUGGUCCACAUCUGGCUCCUCCUGCUCCUGGCUCCUCCCUCCAUCAGCUCCUCCCUGGUCUCACCAUCCAUCAUCUCCUCUGGUGUCCUGGCCUCUGCAAACUCUAUGUCCUUCUCCAGAGCUGCUUCCUUCCUCCUCAGAUAUUCUCUUUACGGUGCGAGAUCGCGCCUUCCGGGAGGGGGAGCUACUGUUACGGUUAUGGACUUGUUGUUUUUUUCUGUUCCUGUUGUCUUGCCCUGUUUAGUUCCUGUCUCCCUAGUUUCUGUUUUUGUCAUUAGUUGCCUUGGUUACCUAUUCGUUUCAGGUGUUUCUUGUUAAUUUACCCAUUAUAUAUCGUCCCUGUUUUGUUCAGUUCUCUGCCGGUUAUUUUAAUUGCUGUUUGUUGAGUUGAUGGACUGUGUGCUACCUUUGCUCCAGUGAGUUACCUGUGUUGAUUCUUUGUGAAUUUCUACAAAGAAUCUUUGGAUCUUCUUCUUUGUGUGCUUGAUCUUUAUCAAGUGUGAGUUACAGUUUUUAUAAUAGCUUUGGUACUAUUUUCAUCAUUUCAUUUCAAUCAAGCAGUGCAUUUUCUAAAAUCUCUGCUAAUCUCACAACAGAUCACCAAAAAAUGCACCCUCUUUAAACAUUUCAGCGUAUUUUCAAUUAUGUUAGUACAGUACUCAAAAUCACAAAGCAUAUUUUUUUUAAUGUGCAUGAUGAGUUUAACCUAUAUUUCAAUUGUAAGGACCCAUUUCUAAAUAUUUAAGUCUCAUUUUCAAACUCUUCUGAGCACAACAGCAAUCUAUGUCAGCUAAACUGUGGCUCAUUUUCCAUGCAAAACUGAAUAAGACACCAAUUUGCAACAUGUUCAUAGUAAUGUCAUAUUCAAAUAUAUUCCAUAUUCAAACUUUGCUAGUGUUAUGAAAGAUUUAUGAAAGAUUAUGAAAGAUGAUUUGAGAUAUGUACAACUAGGUUUUGGUAGUUUUAAUGCAUUUUGGAUGUGAAAUGUACUGCUGUGCUAAGCUGAAGGUUGGUAAGGAGAACUGUGUGAAGAGUUUAAAACAAAAUAUAUUUGACUAAUGAAAACAUGAGCCCAGAUUUUUAAAGAAUGACUAGCGGUGUUAUGAGAGUAAUCAGUUUGGAAUUUUGUACUUGAAGUGUUUUGAACAUGUACCACUUGUGAAUAUAGU
This 1964-nucleotide long non-coding RNA is filed under the name Sinocyclocheilus anshuiensis. Its description in RNAcentral is "lncRNA (ENSSANG00000003843.1)". The record is from RNAcentral. Lineage: Eukaryota; Metazoa; Chordata; Actinopteri; Cypriniformes; Cyprinidae.